GUACUAGCGCAGUGGCAGUAUCGUAGCCAAUAUGGUUUACUAGAGGCCCGAUAUUGCUAGUUGAAAACUUUACUUAUGAAAUGUUUUCUGUCCGGUAAAAAAAAUAAAAAUCCUGGGCUAUCACUUUUAGACUACAUAUCUA
RNAcentral lists this small nuclear RNA (142 nucleotides) under Alligator mississippiensis (American alligator). Its description in RNAcentral is "U4 spliceosomal RNA". It matches the Rfam family "U4 spliceosomal RNA". From Rfam's summary of the family: U4 small nuclear RNA (U4 snRNA) is a component of the major U2-dependent spliceosome. Lineage: Eukaryota; Metazoa; Chordata; Crocodylia; Alligatoridae. The record is from Rfam by way of RNAcentral.